CUGAAGGAAGCUUGGAGUCUGAGGGUAAAGGAGUCCAGGAAAUGUUGGUCUCCCGUGGCACAGAUCAGAACAGCAAACAUAAGAACAGAGAUGCGAGGAGAAGAGAUUCCAAACAGGCCUCUGUGGUGUGCAGAAUUCUAAGAUGGUUCCCAAGAUUCUCACUUCCUGGUGUAUACAACCUACAAAGUCCUCUCACCUUCACUGUGGAGCGACUUGUGAACAGCAAUAAGGUAGUUGCUCCCUUGACCUUGAACAAGCAACUGCCAUGUUAUGGAGAGGACCACCUGGCAUGGAACAGGAUAGGAACUCUAGGAGCUGAGGAUGGCUUCAGGUUAACAGCCAGCAAGAAAGCAGGGCCUGAGUCCUACAGCUUUAAGGAAGAGAAUCCUGCCAACAACCUGAAUCACUUUUAAGAGAUGCUGUGCUCCAGAUCAGAACCCUGUGGCAGACACCUUGAUUUUACCCCAUGAGACCCUGAGCAGAGAAUCCUGUUAAGUCAAGCCCAGACUUCUGACCUACAGAAAGUGUGGGAUAAUGAAUGGUUGGUGUUCUAAGUUGCUAAAUUUGCUGUGUAACUUGUUACACAGCAUUAAAAAUCCAAUAAUAUAUAACAGGUCGAAAUAAACUCCUGACUCUUCACCCUUAAACACCAAAUCUGCUUCUCCUCCAGUUUUCCUCAGGAAAUGGUAAUGCUGUAUGUCAGCAUAGUAAGUUUCCAAAAUCUUUAUUUAUCUUUUGUUUUACUCAAUACGUCGUAUACCACAAAGCUCAUCGAUAAAUCUGUCAGCUCUAUCUUCAAAAUAUGUCUGUAAUUCCAGCAUUUCUUACCUCUUUGACUACCACUUGGGUUAAUGCUGCCUUUGUUCUUUCUUGGGAUUAUUUCGAAAACUUCCAAACUGGUUCACCUGCUUUCCUAUCUACCUGCCAAAACCCACUCUCCACAAAGUGCUCGGAAUAGUACUCAUAAAAUGUAAACUGAGAAACAUCUUUGUUCAAAACCAUACAGCGGCUUCCAGUCUCACUCAGAAAAAACAAAGUCCUUUAAAUGGUCCACGGACAUCAGAGCAAUUCAAAGUGAGGUCGGUGGUCCACAAGCUUGUUUCCUGUCCAUGCC
Molecule: long non-coding RNA, 1114 nt
Filed under: Equus caballus (horse)
Lineage: Eukaryota; Metazoa; Chordata; Mammalia; Perissodactyla; Equidae
Description: lncRNA (ENSECAG00000050332.1)
Source: RNAcentral